Molecule: ribosomal RNA, 427 nt
Filed under: uncultured bacterium
Lineage: Bacteria
Description: bacterial SSU rRNA
Rfam family: Bacterial small subunit ribosomal RNA
Source: RNAcentral
UGGGGAAUAUUGCACAAUGGGCGCAAGCCUGAUGCAGCCAUGCCGCGUGUAUGAAGAAGGCCUUCGGGUUGUAAAGUACUUUCAGCGAGGAGGAAGGCGUUAAGGUUAAUAACCUUGGCGAUUGACGUUACUCGCAGAAGAAGCACCGGCUAACUCCGUGCCAGCAGCCGCGGUAAUACGGAGGGUGCAAGCGUUAAUCGGAAUUACUGGGCGUAAAGCGCACGCAGGCGGUUUGUCAAGUCGGAUGUGAAAUCCCCGGGCUCAACCUGGGAACUGCAUUCGAAACUGGCAAGCUAGAGUCUUGUAGAGGGGGGUAGAAUUCCAGGUGUAGCGGUGAAAUGCGUAGAGAUCUGGAGGAAUACCGGUGGCGAAGGCGGCCCCCUGGACAAAGACUGACGCUCAGGUGCGAAAGCGUGGGGAGCAAACA